This is a long non-coding RNA of Equus asinus (donkey), 8330 nucleotides long. Lineage: Eukaryota; Metazoa; Chordata; Mammalia; Perissodactyla; Equidae. The record is from Ensembl.
AAGCAAACAAGGAACCGAUUCUUUGCUUUCUGUGCUCUUGAGACUUUAAAUAUUUCUCCCCAUCUCAGUUUUGGUGGGAGAUGGGAGGGUAUUACAAGCUAUAAUGCAAUCAUUUGGAUGCUUAACUGCAGACGAGAAGAAUUGGGAAUGCUUUGUAAAAUUUCCCAAAAGAGUGAAAUGCUCUGUCAGGGGUCCAAUGCCCCCAUCCUCUGCUUGGACAAACAUCUCUGUCCAGCUGGGGCUGCCACAACGGACCAGACGGAGGAUGUUUUGGCUUCGGCUUCUUUACCAUGCUGUACGUCAAACCCAAGCCCUCCGACAGCCUGACUCCUCUCACGGGCUAGAACAAACAAGGAGAUUGCAAUUGAAGAGCACGGCUUGGAGGUUCGUCGGAUUCUCUUCGAGGGAACAGAGGACUAACUUAGGGCUGCUGGAACAGACUGCCCCAAACUGAGUGGCUUGAAACAACAGAAAUUUAUUGUCUCACAGUUCUGGAAAAUAGAAGUCUAAAAUCAAGGCCCUGGCAAAGCCAUGCUCCCUCUGAAGCCUCGGGACAAGGACCAUGCUGCCUUCUUUGCCUCUUCCAGUUUCUGGUAGCCCCAGGCAGUCCAUGGCUCAGGGCAGCAAGACUCCAAGCUCUGCCUCCCUCUUCACAUGGCUGUCUUCCCUCUGUGUCUUUACGCUGUCAUCCCUAUGGGCAUGUCUAUGUCAAAACUUCCAUCUUCUUGUAAGGACAGCGGUCAUAGUGGAUUAGGGCCCAUCCUAUGAUCUCAUCUUCGCGUGAUUACAUCUGCCGAGACCCCAUUUCCAAAUAAGGGCAGUGCCACAGGGGUUAGACACAGGAGUGAGGAUUCCAACAUGUCCUUUCAGAGGACACCAUCCAACCCGUAACAACGACUUCCACAGGAUUGUUAAGACAGUGAACUGAAACACAGAUAUGAAAAGUCUUGAUGAUUGGAAAGUCUUGAUGCAAAUGUAGAAUAAAGAACUCAGCUGGGGUUUGAGUCCGGCCCUUUCUCCCAACCUUUAGGCUAGAGUUUCAGCAUAAGGACUCUGAAGCCCAAUUUAGGGGUGUGAAGACAAAUGAGGGGGAAGAGUAUAGAAAAUUAGGUCAAGGGCACAAAAGACAAUGUUCACUACCUUACGGGUUACCUGGGCCUAGUUCAGGUCCCGAGUGAGUGAAGUGACCUCAAAGACUCCAUGCGCUAACCCAGACUUCCCAGAAUGGGACCAGCAGGCAAGCGACACCCGUUCACCAAGGCCACGGUGGAGAGAAUGGAAAUCACUGCUUCACACUCGUAUUCUUUUAUUACCGUAGACUUGGAAGGUCAGAGUGAAGAAAAGCUUUAAUAAGCACCAGUAAAGCGUUACACAUGGCGCUGUUCGGAAGACAGAUAUGGUUCCUGACCUGCGGGGCCCGGGUUCUAAAACACACAGGGACAGCCAUGUCUAGAUUUCAUGUGAGUUUUUCUUUUCCCUUUUGGGGGGUUAGCACCGGGGAAGUAUUGCAUUCUAGCUGAUUAGGAACCACAAGUCUAAAUUUCAAUUCUGGGCUGAAUAGUAAUUUUUCCUGAAGGUUUGAAUAAAUCAUCCAAUCUGCUUCAGUUUCAACUAUUUUCAGCAUUUCUAUUUUAAUCAUUAAUUUUGGCUGCUUAGGACCCCGGAGUCACCAAGCCGGCAUGUGACUUAAUUUGGGAUGGGAAUGAGGCAGGAGGUGGAAGAUGCACUGAGAACUGAACAGGAGAAAAUGGGCUUGAGCUCCAGUCUGAAAGAUUUGGGCCGAAUGCAGGGAUAUUUUCUUGUUAGUGACGAUGGCAAUUUUUGGGGUUUGCUCUCACAAGGCAGAUUAUAGAAUCGGCACAACUGUAAUUUUGGUAAAGAUAGGAGAGAUUCUCAUGUAAGGAAGAUAGUUUAAUUUUCAUUCUGAUUUGACUGCAAGGUGAUGAGCCGGAUCAACUUUCUAUUCAGGUAAAUCAUAACACCUUAAGACAAUAAGAAGUGCAUAUAAUCCAUCCUGCUCCCUUUUCACUUUGAAUGCCAGGAAGCUCAAAGCUAACUAUACUGUUGAGUUAAAAUUAAUAUUAGCCUCCGAUACUGUUUCAGUUAUCUAUUGCUGUGAACAAAUUACCCCCAGACUUAGUGGCUCACAACAACAAUUUAUUUAUACCUUUCACAGUUCAGUAAGUUGACCGGACUCAGCUGGGCAGUCCUUGCUUGAGGACUCUCACACAGUUUCUGACGGAUGGUGGCUGAGGUAGGAGUCACCUAAGGCUCAGCUGCCAUAAACGUUCAAGAUGGUUUCUCAGUCACAUGUCUGGCAGCUGGGCUGAGACAGCCAGAACAUCUAGAGGCUGGCUGAGCUUCUCUCUCUCCCUCCACACGGCUAGCGUGGGCUUUCUCACAGCAUGCUGGGCAGUCGCAGCUCACACCUGGCGGCUGGCUUCCCCCAGGUGGAAAACGGGGGAAUAUACCCCGCCAGGUUAUAAUGGGAGAUGUGGUCCAUGGCUGGGGUCAUGCUGCCACAGGUAUUUAUAAACUUUCUCUAUUUUUCUCGGUCUUAUAAGGCAUGUAUCUUUCUUUGUGAGCCUUUUUUGGAGGUAGGCAAGUAGGAAAAAUACAGUCAAGUGCUGCAUAACGACGUUUCAGUUAACGACGGCCCGCAUAUGUAAGGGUGGUCCCAUAAGAUCAGUACCAUCUCGCCUAGGUGUGAAGUAGGCUAUAUCAUCUAGGUUUGUGCAAGUACACUCUGUGAUGUUUGCACAACGACAAAAUCAUUAAGUGACGCAUGACUGUGCACACAGUGGUUUCCUCUUGUCUAAGGCUUGACAGUUUACCAUGCACCGUCACCUAUGCUACCUUCCCUGACCUCCAGAACACCAUGUAAAGGGGCAGAUCUGCAACUGUAGCCCAUUUUUACAGAUGUGGAGACUGAGGUUCAAAAAGGAUUGGUAACCUGCCCAAGGUAACACAGCUAGGAAGUGGUGGGCCGGGCCCUGGACAGGUGUGUCUGAUACAACAAUCCAUGUUCUCAGGCAGCUGCUGAAGCCCUGACAGAGACCCAAGUCGAAAACCCAGGAGGGGCUCCCCGACAUGCCACACAACACCUGCUUGCCUCUCCAUCACCCCCAAUCACAGCGGAAGUUUAGUGCCAUGGUCUGAGCACGAGUCCUUGAGCAAAAUGGCCUGAAUCCGAACGGGCUCUGCCACUUCCUGGCCAUGUUCCUGGUUUCUUUCAAAUGACUCAGUUUCUUCAUCUGUAAAAUGAGACUGCUGCUGAUGUCAUGAGGAAUACACAAAUUAUUUAUUAAGAGGACCCUGGUCUAGCUUCCCCUUCUCUAGGCCUUAUUUGAUUUAUAAGGACCUUACCAAGCAUCCAUACAAGUACAGCUGAUCUGGACAUUUCAUUUUACUCGAUAUUACUGGAAGGACUAAAAGCCCUAAGUCGAUGUUAAUGCCUGCCUGAGGAUCACAAUUUCGGCUGCAGGAUGCAGUUAUAAAAUACUGUCAGGACUUGGAGACACAAAUCGCUUUCCGCAAGCUCUCACGUGCACUCACAUUCUCUCUUCAAUUAUUUACACUGACAUUCUCGCCCUCGGUCCCCGGUUGCUCUCUCCUCUCACUCUCUGUCCCAAGUGGACCUGCACAUUCACACUCAACUUCUUUCCACUCCAGUCCUUCACGUAUAUGUUCUCAACACGCGCACCCAAAGAUAGCCUUCCACUUACACAUACAUGUCCUUGACCUUCUGUGUCCCAGGGCACCUUCCUUCCUCAGAGCCUCAGUAUACAGAUAUUUCUGUGCUCACGGAGCCUGAGAUGCACCCCCUCCCAUUCCAGGUCCCCCAAAGAUGGCAGGAGAAGUUUUUGCAGCCAUGCCCAGUGAGGAGGUUCUGGACACCUGGCUGCACCUGCCCACGGGUGUUCAGCUCACAAAGCUCUUCAUCAGUGAUCCGAGGGGGCCACUGAGUGGAUUCCCCUGCUGCCCACUGGACACGGCACAAACAGCCUGCAUGGGAUCCAGAGAGCUUAUGAUAGCUGCUGCCUAAGGGGGCAAGUGCUCCUGACCUGGGAGGAGGCUGGGCUAAGGGAAGCUGCCAGCUUUUUCCCAGCUCAGGGUGGGGUGAGAAUCGAGCUGAAUAUGCACCUAUUCAGAAGGGCAAAGAGCCAAAAAUAACUAGGAGCAAUAGCGUUUCAUCUGACAGGCCCAGAAAUAGAGCUCAUUUCGGAGCAUGCCAGGGCUACAGACGAGGGAUUCCGAGACCUCAGCAUUCCCGGAGAAACACAUGGAAAAACUCCCAGGUUACACAAGCAUUUCCAUCCCCUCUUCACUACAGCUUCUCAAAGCAAGAGCUCCGUGGCCCACAGGAACAGAGUCUGCAGAGUCAGAGACUUGAGGGGGUCUGGGGACCAGGACUCAAGGACGCUAUCUGGUGGAAUGCCCCAAGGAAGGAAGAAAUAGGAAGUUAACUGGUCAAUAAGGAGAAUGCAAAACAGAACAGAGUCAGGACAUGGAUUUAGAGAAGGUAAUGCUUAGGCAUCGUGAGAAAAAUGGAGGUACUGAACAUUAACGAUGGCGUGCGUGCAGGAUUUAGAUAAAGCCUGAAGGUCAUCCUUGGCAGAGAAAAAGGCCAAGGUUUUCCAGUUGGGAUGGGGAGUGUGCUGCCUGCCAGCCGUCUUCUCUUCUAUUUUUGUUUUCUUCUAUUUUGAUGUAAAAGGCAAAUGUCACAGUUCAUUUGUCUUUAUUCUGAAUAUCUGAAAUUGCAGAAGGAAAGGAGAGGGUGGGAGAGGGGAGAAACCUGAUAGUCAUGGGAAAGCUGUGUUCUAACAGGAAGAAGAUAGAGGAGAUAACAAUGAAUAAAAAAGGGAAAGGAGGAAGGAAGAUAAGAAGGGAGAAAGACAAGAAGGGAGGGUAGAAGAAAAAACAGAAAAGGAAGAUGAUGGAGUCAAUUUUAUUUAGCGACUACGUUUAAGAAUUUUCUAUACAAGGCAGGGGGGAGUACACAGAGCUGAUUAAGAAACCACCCCUCCAAAACAAAAAGUGACAAGUGUUGGAGAGGUUGUGGAGAAAAAGGAACGCUCAUACACUGUUGGUGGGAAUGCAAACUGGUGCAGCCACUAUGGAAAACAGUAUGGAGAUUUCUCGAAAAAUUAAAAAUAGAAAUACCUUUUGACCCACCCAUCCCACUACUGGGUAUCUAUCCAAAGAACUUGAAAUCAGCAAUUCCAAAAGUCCCAUGCACCCCUAUGUUCAUCGCAGCAUUAUUUACAAUAGCCAAGAUGUGGAAGUAACCUAAAUGUCCAUCAACUGAGGAUUGGAUAAAGAAGAUAUGGUGUGUGUGUGUGUGUGUGUAUGUAUAUAUAUAUAUAUAUAUAUAUAUAUAUAGUGGAAUACUACUCAGCCAUAAAAAAGAUAAAAUCGUCCCAUUCACAAUAACAUGGAUGGACCUUGAAGGUAUUAUGUUGAGUGAAAUAAACCAGAUAGAGAAAGACGAACUCUGUAUGAUUCCACUCAUAAGUGGAAGUUAAACAUAGAGACAAAGAGAAUUUAUUGGUGGUUAUCAGGGGAAAGGGGGGGUGGGGGCAGGGCACAAAGGGUGAAGUGGCGCACCUACAACAUGACUAACAAUAAUGUACACCUGAAAUUUCACAAGGUUGUAAACUAUCAUAAUCUUAAUAAAAAGUUAAAGAAAAAAAGAAAGAAAGAAAGAAAGAAACCACCCCUGCUCUCAAAGAUCUUACAGUCUACCCAAAGAGAAGGACAGGCUGACAAACCUGCUACCGUAUAAAGCAGGAUUAGCUGGUUGCUACGUGGGGUUCCAGGCAAUGCUCAGUGAGAACAGAGAGAAAGGACCCAUCGAGUUUUGACCUGAGGCCAUGAGGGAAGGUCCCUAGAGCAGGUGGCAUUUGCCUGGGCCCCAGCGGUUUAUGUAGGAGCGGAGUGGUUAGAAGGAGCAUGCCUCACUUCCUCCCACAGAGUGCCACCACCCCACCUCUUGAUAUGCAGGUGUCAUUUGUCUCUGUAGGCACAGGUCUCUUUUCCCUAGACAGCCUUGAUCCCUGGAAAUGUGGCUUCCAAGUGCCCCAGCAUGGACAGUGCCAGUCUGAGGGUAAGUUUCUACUGGUCCACAGCCAAAUGAGACACAGACAAAUUGGGAGUUUUUCACAAGCAAAUUACAUUCAGUUUAAAGGACUGUCUUUUAUUAUAAUGUUAAACCCCUCCUUAAUUUUUGCUGGUAAAAAUGCCCUAUCUUUUUAACAAAAUAAUGGUGAAUAAAAGUAGAUUUCAGGUUAUUUUGUUUGUUUUAAAUAUGUAUAUUUUUGUUUUUCGGAGGAAGACUCACCCUGAGCUAACAUCUGUUGCCAAUCUUCCUCUUUUUAUGUGUGAGCCGCCACAUCACGGCCACCAACAAACAAGCGGUGUAGGUCCACGCCCAGGAACCGAACCUGGGCUGCCAAAGCAGAGCAAGAUGAACUUAACCACUAGGCCACCAGGCUGGUCCUGUUUUGAAUAUUUUUACUUGGCAAGUUAAUAGUUGGCCAACUGCAUUUGUCCCUGAGAUUAUAGUGAUCGUUUCAGUCUGAGGACUCCUGGCCUAAGAUGUCAUCUGUGCCCAUCGAGGCAAACGGGUUCAGUGAGGUUCACCUCUUUCUCCAGCCUCCUUGGCUCCAGGCCUCUGGAUGCUCCUCCCCCUGGAGGCUCAAUAGGGAUGAAUGAGUCCACCAUUCUCCCUCGGCCCCUGAUGCUUUUGUCCUUUUCCGUGUUGAGGUGUGGAGUUGUUCUCCUCUCACCAUCUCCUUUGAGGGGAAUGUGAUAAACCGACUCACACUAAGGCAGUAAGGAGUGAUACUCGAUUAAUACACUCUCCCCAGGGGCCUUCACAUUUUAGUGGAGUAUUAAAACUUAAUUCAAGCCAAUGAAUUGUAAUGGUGGAAUUUUAAGCUCUUCCACAGGGCAAUGGGAAAGAACGAUAUUUUUAAAUAAAGGGGCUUCUGCUGAAAUCAGACCACACCUUUCAAAUUACUGACACAAACAAUGAGAGAUGAGGCCGGGCAAUAACUGAUUCUGUCUUCUUGAUCAAAAUGUCACACUCCACUAUGAAUAGACGUCCUGACCUUCUCUUUCUCUGCCCCUCUCCAAUACAGAAUGAAUCAGCCAGCUCUGCCACCCCCUGCCCUGGGCUGCGGAGCAACCUGAACGUCCCUUUUACGGAACCAAAGUGUGUUUGGUGUUUUUUGCAAGCCUGCUGCUCCUUGCGGAACGGAUGGUCCUGCCCACUUCUGGAUUCCUCGGGCUUUUGGUGGUGCCUGAUGGACACUAGGAAUGCAAUAGAAGACAAAUAAGUGGGAGAUUGGAUAUACCAGGUUAAAAUAGCCCAGUCCCCUAUGGGGUUCCUCCACAUUGACUACAGUUAGGUAAAUUCAAACCCUUAAACUCACAAGGCUUUGAAAACUGUGAUUGCGUGAAUCCUGAUUACAAACCACCUGAGGGAAUCAUUUGGCUCCCUAAGACCAGCUGAGUCUGUGUGCAAUAAAGGAGGAGAGAAACUCUGGAGAAAGGCCCAGGGAGACGGGGGAAACCAAAGAAAUAUUAGGAAGCCCCAUUCUCCAGAAGUGGCCAACAAUUUUCCUCCCACAUACAUUAAAAAGUAUAGUCUAUACUUCGACCAGACAGAAAAAAUAUGGACAUGAUCUGGGACAAAGUCAUCAAAUCUUUGAUCCCCUUGGGCACUCGAUAGAAUAAAUGGUUUUCCACAUCACACAGGAGAAUUUUAAGUGCUUUGGGUCUGUGGAAGUGGGGCAUAGUGGUGGUGACAUCUGUCAAACAAAGAAACCCUCAAAUGCUUUAAUGUGGUGGCUGCUGGAUGAGAGAGGCGCAGAAGUGACCGUCUCCUGUAAGCCAAUGGUUCUGGAAAUGGGGUCUCUGCAGCAGCAGCAGCAUCACCUGGGAGCUUGUUAGAAAGGUGGCUUCUUGGUCCCACCCAGGACUGACUGAAUCUGAAAUUCCAGGAGGGUUGUCCAGCUAUGUGCGUUUUAACAAGCCCUCCCCACGAUUCCAAUGCAGGCUGAAGUCUGAGAACCACUGACAUAAAGCAUUACCUUGCAGUGAGUGACUCGGGGCCAAGAGCCUGACCCAGGGCCACAGCCAUCGAGUGACCUAAAAAAAGUAAGGGAUGACUCAGCUGAGGAGCUGAGCGUGGCCAGGCCGCCUGUCCUGAGAGCCUGAGGGCAUACGCAGCCACAGGGGAUUGCAAAGCUGGUCUAACCCAACCCUAGGUAUCCCAUCUUACCACCAGCCUCUCCCGAUGCCUGUCGUGACUUGACCUACUGUGA